Brachypodium distachyon (stiff brome) is the source of this 121-nucleotide non-coding RNA. The record is from RefSeq and is marked provisional. Lineage: Eukaryota; Viridiplantae; Streptophyta; Magnoliopsida; Poales; Poaceae.
UCCUUUGUUCAGGAGAGAUGACACCGACAUCGAUCUGAUGGGUCGGCUCAGUUCAAUUAGUUACUAGGCCAUGUGUGUCCAUCCGCUUGGAGUGGGUGUCAUCUCCCCUGAACAUAGGACG